AUGGAUGCAUCGUCGUGUAACUACUGUCGACCCACUCGUGCUGCUCCGGGGGAAACCCUAGGAUCUGGUGUUCCAGAUCGGACGAUGGCGGCACUGCGGUGUCGUUUCUCUCUUGGGAGCAUAAUUUGUGGAGCAGCGCUGGAAGUCAGAGGCAGGAGGUGGAGCGGCUUCGUCUUGCACGGAGCUUCGGUGGAGAUGUCAAGUCAUGCCUCACCGACAGGUGCUACGCUUUGUCAUGCCUGGUCGGCAGGUGCUACGCACGACAGAUCUUCCAAGGACUUCAAGCUGUGUCGGCUGCUGGUACUUGGCAGCAUGGCGCUGAGGUGUAUGAGUGGCGACCGCGACGUGCUCAGCUGUUUGCGCGCAGGGAGGAGGUGUUGUUGGGCGCCAUGGUGGCGUCGACGAUAG
This 408-nucleotide ribosomal RNA is filed under the name Triticum aestivum (bread wheat). RNAcentral describes it as "partial small subunit ribosomal RNA". The record is from RNAcentral. Lineage: Eukaryota; Viridiplantae; Streptophyta; Magnoliopsida; Poales; Poaceae.